Molecule: long non-coding RNA, 670 nt
Filed under: Lathyrus oleraceus (garden pea)
Lineage: Eukaryota; Viridiplantae; Streptophyta; Magnoliopsida; Fabales; Fabaceae
Description: Pisum sativum (pea) long non-coding RNA (PSAT_LNC040173)
Source: RNAcentral
ACCACAUUGGGUGCAUUAGAAGGUAGGAUCAGACCAGGGUCCUUUCCAGAUUUAAGGUCCAAGUCAUGGCGGUAAUUGACAAUCUUAUUAUGAUAUGAGGUGCUUUUGUCGAAUGAUAGCCUCCAGUGGUAAGAUUUUUGUUUCUUAAUACCUCGCACAAGACCCUCAUUUUCAGAGGCAGAAAUGUGCCAUUCUUUCUUUCAAAUCAUUUUUCCCUGUAAUUGCACUUGCAGGUUUCACAACAUUGAGUGGUUGCUACAGCGGCUAUCAGAACCUUUGGCAUCACAAAAUGGAGGGCUGUCUGGUGCUGACAUUAUUGAGGAGUUGAGAACUCAUCUUACAAAUUGUAUCAAAACCAAAAUUUGUUCCCUCAAACUGGUAUGAAGACUUAUUAAAUCUUUCUUCUGUUUCUGUCCAUUGUAAUGAGUCCAUCUUGAGUACAAAAGAAAGGUCUUUGUAAUUUCUUUGUUCUCAUUUGGAGCUCGACAUGAUUGUAAUGGUUUAGUAGCAUGGUCUAAUUAUUAUUAUUGAACUGGUGUACACUUUAUUUUGCUUGUUUGGAGAUAAAACCUGCAGGAUUGGCGCUGCCGUAAGACCGGAUUGCAGAUUGCUUCAGGUCGGAGAGGAAGAUACCUUGGCAUCAAGAAGCUUCCCAUACCAGGUCCAUGAC